UUGCAUAGCUGAAACCAGCCUGAAAUACUUUCUUAUUCCUCUGUUCACUAGACAACAUUAAUGUUCCAUGUUCUACUCCAUGAUAUCAAGUAAAACUUCUGGGAGACAAGGUAUCAACUGGAACUAACAACAGUAUCAGAAAAUAUAUGAGCAGGGUAAGAACUAAUUUAGCCUCUUAUACAUAUGAAAGUUUACCAUGUAUAGAAUGAGUUUUGUCUUUGAAAUACUAUCAUGAUCUAG
Molecule: long non-coding RNA, 240 nt
Filed under: Coturnix japonica (Japanese quail)
Lineage: Eukaryota; Metazoa; Chordata; Aves; Galliformes; Phasianidae
Description: lncRNA (ENSCJPG00005000063.1)
Source: RNAcentral